AGAGUUUGAUCCUGGCUCAGGAUGAACGCUGGCGGUAUGCCUAACACAUGCAAGUCGUGCGGAAAAGAAAUUUUUAGUGGCGAACGGGUGAGUAACGCGUGAGAAUUUGCUUUUAGGUAGAGGAUAACGAAUAGAAAUAUUCGCUAAAACUCUAUAACUCUAUUAAAAAAAUAGCUAAAAAAAGAAAUUUGCCUAGAAAAAAGCUCGCGUCUGAUUAGCUAGUUGGUAAGGGAAAGGCUUACCAAGGCGACGAUCAGUAGCUGAUUUGAGAGGAUGAUCAGCCACACUGGAACUGAGACACGGUCCAGACUCCUACGGGAGGCAGCAGUGAGGAAUUUUCUGCAAUGGGCGAAAGCCUGACAGAGCAAUACCGCGUGAGGGAAUAAGAAGGCCUAUGGGUUGUAAACCUCUUUUCUCAAAGAAGAAGAUCUGACGUUAUUUGAGGAAUAAGCAUCGGCUAACCCUGUGCCAGCAGCCGCGGUAAU
This 485-nucleotide ribosomal RNA is filed under the name uncultured bacterium. RNAcentral describes it as "bacterial SSU rRNA". It matches the Rfam family "Bacterial small subunit ribosomal RNA", at positions 8 to 524 of the family's 1533-position model. The record is from RNAcentral.